RNAcentral lists this ribosomal RNA (471 nucleotides) under uncultured bacterium. Its description in RNAcentral is "partial 16S ribosomal RNA". The stretch from base 19 to 335 matches the Rfam family "Bacterial small subunit ribosomal RNA", at positions 46 to 392 of the family's 1533-position model. The record is from RNAcentral.
AACGAACGCUGGCGGCAGGCCUAACACAUGCAAGUCGAGCGCGCCUUCGGGUGAGCGGCGGACGGGUGAGUAACGCGUGGGAAUAUGCCCUUCUCUACGGAAUAGUCCUGGGAAACUGGGGGUAAUACCGUAUACGCCCUUUGGGGGAAAGAUUUAUCGGGGAAGGAUUAGCCCGCGUUGGAUUAGGUAGUUGGUGGGGUAAUGGCCUACCAAGCCGACGAUCCAUAGCUGGUUUGAGAGGAUGAUCAGCCACACUGGGACUGAGACACGGCCCAGACUCCUGCGGGGAGCAGAGGGGGAGAGUCUGCGACAUGGGGGUCAACCCUGAUAAACGCAGGGUACGGGGGGGAAGAGGCCCUUAGGUUUAAAAAGCUCUCACGGGGGGAAAUGUAAGGCCGGUAAAAGGGAAAGGGCCCCCGGCUAACGCGGUGCAAGAGGCGGCGGAAAGGGACGAGGAGAAUACGUCUGACU